CUGUGAUGUGCGGACCGCUGCAGCCCUACGACUCCACAACACUAUUAUUGUUCAUAUGAUUUAUUUCACCUUACUCAAGUUUUCCUGCCAUGACGCUCUGGAUUCCCACUAAAAGAGAGAAAUAUGGAGUGGCUAUCUAUAACUAUGAUGCCAGAGGAGAGCCAGAGCUGAGUCUUCAGGUGGGGGACACGGUACACAUACUUGAGACGUUUGAAGGGUGGUACCGAGGAUACACACUACGACAGAAAUCACAAAAGGGCAUUUUCCCUGCCAAC
Molecule: long non-coding RNA, 275 nt
Organism: Sinocyclocheilus rhinocerous
Lineage: Eukaryota; Metazoa; Chordata; Actinopteri; Cypriniformes; Cyprinidae
Exons: 4
Source: RefSeq, a predicted model, not a curated record